Molecule: ribosomal RNA, 502 nt
Filed under: uncultured bacterium
Lineage: Bacteria
Description: bacterial SSU rRNA
Rfam family: Bacterial small subunit ribosomal RNA
Source: RNAcentral
GAUGAACGCUAGCUACAGGCUUAACACAUGCAAGUCGAGGGGAAACGAUAUUGGAAGCUUGCUUCCGAUAGGCGUCGACCGGCGCACGGGUGAGUAACGCGUAUCCAACCUGCCCAUCACUUGGGAAUAACCUUGCGAAAGUAAGACUAAUGCCCAAUGACAUUUAUAGAAGGCAUCUGAAAUGAAUUAAAGAUUUAUCGGUGAUGGAUGGGGAUGCGUCUGAUUAGCUUGUUGGCGGGGUAACGGCCCACCAAGGCGACGAUCAGUAGGGGUUCUGAGAGGAAGGUCCCCCACAUUGGAACUGAGACACGGUCCAAACUCCUACGGGAGGCAGCAGUGAGGAAUAUUGGUCAAUGGGCGAGAGCCUGAACCAGCCAAGUAGCGUGCAGGAAGACGGCCCUAUGGGUUGUAAACUGCUUUUANAAGGGAAUAAAGUGAGUCUCGUGAGACUUUUUGCAUGUACCUUAUGAAUAAGGACCGGCUAAUUCCGUGCCAGCAGCCG